Long non-coding RNA from Magallana angulata, 508 nucleotides. RefSeq lists it as uncharacterized. Lineage: Eukaryota; Metazoa; Mollusca; Bivalvia; Ostreida; Ostreidae. The record is from RefSeq and is a predicted model, not a curated record. The transcript is spliced from 5 exons.
CCAACCAGCACAGAUGGACACAUACCUUGUCCUGUUUGUACUCAUAAUAUAUGUGACCAUUCGAAUACAAUUUUAUGUGAAGUUUGUCAAAUUAGUUUCAAUCAUCAGCCACAACCACAAAACGCAACAUGCUUAAAUAGGGGACAGUGUUUUGAAGACGAUAGUAACCUUUGCUGCACUGAUUUGGCAUGUGUAGAUAUCAUCUUAAAACAUCUUGACGCAGUCACAAAUUACCCAUUAACCCAACCAGUCCGUGCGUUUGGACACAAUAACCAAACAUCCCAAAGCACGAUCAGUACAACUAAAAGCGCCACAUCUACUCUCUCUACCAAUUCCUCUGCGGCUGCCACCACCAUUACACUUCAAUCCUCUUCUUUGUCGUCAACCACCACUGUUCGUACAACCCAUACAAGUCCUCGCAAGAUACAUGCAUCAAUCAAGAGAGAACCUGAGGCAAGUAACAUUGGGGACCUCCUUCGGGAAAAGGGAGAAAAGGAGAAUUAAACGC